RNAcentral lists this ribosomal RNA (229 nucleotides) under uncultured bacterium. RNAcentral describes it as "partial 16S ribosomal RNA". It matches the Rfam family "Bacterial small subunit ribosomal RNA", at positions 568 to 796 of the family's 1533-position model. The record is from RNAcentral.
CGUGUAGGCGGUACGUUAAGUCGAGUGUGAAAGCCCUGGGCUCAACCCAGGACGUGCGCUCGAUACUGGCGAACUAGAGUACGGGAGAGGGUAGCGGAAUUCCCGGUGUAGAGGUGAAAUUCGUAGAUAUCGGGAGGAACACCAGUGGCGAAGGCGGCUACCUGGACCGAUACUGACGCUGAGACGCGAAAGCGUGGGUAGCAAACAGGAUUAGAUACCCUGGUAGUCC